Molecule: non-coding RNA, 2044 nt
Organism: Callithrix jacchus (white-tufted-ear marmoset)
Lineage: Eukaryota; Metazoa; Chordata; Mammalia; Primates; Cebidae
Source: the annotation of a RefSeq genome assembly
GACUCCUCAGUUCUCCUUCUCACAAUGAAGCUCCCUGCUCAGCUCCUGGGGCUGCUAAUGCUCUGGCUCUCUGGAUCCAGUGGGGAUAUUGCGAUGACCCAGACUCCACUCUCCCUGCCCGUCACCCUAGGAGAGUCAGCCUCCAUCUCCUGCAGGUCUAGUCAGAGCCUCUUUGAUAGUGAUUAUGAACUCACCUAUUUGGAUUGGUACCUGCAGAAGCCAGGCCAGUCUCCACAGCUCCUGAUCUAUAGUGUUUCCAACCGGGCCUCUGGAGUCCCAGACAGGUUCAGUGGCACUGGGUCAGGCACUGAUUUCACACUGAAAAUCAGUCGGGUGGAGGCUGAGGAUGUUGGGGUUUAUUACUGCAUGCAAAGUAAAGAGCUUCCUCCCACAGUGGUACAACCCUGAACAGAAACCUCCUUGCUGGCGUAUCCCAGCUGCUCACAUGUGCUGCUUGUCUGGGGGAGCAGCUCAGCAGGGUCUCUGGGUCUGCAGAAGACUAGGCUGCUGGAGAAUUCAGGGCAGAGUUUGCUGCUGAGGACUCUGUCUGGGACAACAGUUGCAUGCCACUAAGCAUGGCUAAUUUUUGUUUUACGUAGAGUCGGUGCUUCACCACGUUGCCCAGCCUGUUCUCAGGCUCAUGGGCUCCUGCCACCCACUUGACUUAGCCUCCCAAAGUGCUGGGAGUAUAGGUGUGGGCCAUUGUGCCAGGUCAGCACCCCUGUUUAUGUUCCUGUCACUUGCCACAGCCAUGACUCUCAUAAGCAACAGGAGAAUGAGGAGGUUCUAGGGCCCUGUGAGUAAAAAUUUGGGAUGAAACGGAAAGAAGAAUGGAAGCUCAUCUUAAUCCUCCUUCCUUGCUUAUAUUUUUAAAAUAUCCUGAGCAAAACAGCCAGCCAAUUGAUCAUUUCUGGCAAAACAUGUUGAAUACAUCUUAGGGUUUAACAGUUUUGGGUACAUUUUAAAGAAAAUAUUUGGUUAUAUGUGAAAUUGGCAUUUUCCCACUUUUUAAAUUCCUGCUUCUUCUAUUUACCAUUCUUCUCCACUCCCUGAGACAGUAGACACAGGACUUUCCACUAGUUCUUCUCAGGGUGAGCUGGCUGGGGACAACCAGUAACAUCUUGGUUGUGAGUGUCAAACAGAUUUUGUAAUUUCAUAGCAGACACAAGAUCCUAACACUAAAACUCUUUGAUCAAAAUUACCUCUUGUGGAUUGAAAAGGGAGUUCUUGAAAUUUUUAAAGUUGGUUUUAAAAAUAAUAUGUGUAUACUGGAAGAUGCAGUAUACUAAAAAUGUGGUAUUUUCCAUAGAUCACUGAGAAAAUACAGGAUGGUGUAAAGUUUUUUAUUUUCUAAAGCUCAGAAUUUGGGAUUUGGCAGACUGCAGGAAUGGGGGCAUGAAGAGAACACAGGAGAGGUCAGCUCUUGUUCGAUUAAAUUUCCCUUGGCUAUGGUGGGUGGGAAUGUGGCUGGUGGUGGGCUUGGCAGUUGAUGAUGUAGAUUAAAAAGGAGCCAAAUAUGUUACUUGUGAAGAACCACAGAGCUGAAGGCACUGCUGCCUGGCUUCCUGGGUGGAGGCUGUGCCACUGGGAGUCUCACAAGAAAGCAAUCUCGUGAGCAAGUAUUUAUGUCUGUGAUCAACGAAGGUUUAGAGAAGUCCCUGUACAAGCAGACCUGAGGUCAUGCCACUCAAUUCUAGUUAAAUCGCAACAGCCAAGCAGAGCUUCUGAAACUCAUUCUGCUCCUAGAGGAGUUUAGCAGAGAUCACUGGUUGUGUCUGGAGACCUCACAAGCACUGACAUGCUGAGCAGAAGGCUCAAUAGGAUGUAAGCCAGCAGGUUUUGAUACAUGAAAAUUUUCCUUUUCAGUUGUCAUAAAAAACAAUAGAAGGUUUGAAAUAAGAAAAUGUAUUAUUUUGACACAAUGUGGUCAUUACCCAAAAAUAAAUUUGAUUUCCAUAUUCUAGUAGUAGGUGUAAAGAAAAAUCUAUGAUUUGCAUGUAUUCACUUAAAAUAAUGCUCCAAAAAUAUUUGUGAAUUAAUCAUG